AGAAUGAACGCUAGCGAUAUGCUUAACACAUGCAAGUUGAACGUUGUUUUCGAAUCAGAAUGAGAACAAAGUAGCGAACGGGUGCGUAACACGUGGGAAUCUGCCGAACAGUUUGGGCCAAAUCCCGAAUGAAUAAAAGCUAAAAAGCGCUGUUUGAUGAGCCCACGUAGUAUUAGGUAGUUGGUUAGGUAAAAGCUGACCAAGCCUACGAUGCUUAGCUGGUCUUUUCGGAUGAUCAGCCACACUGGGACUGAGACACGGCCCAGACUCCUACGGGAGGCAGCAGUGGGGAAUCUUGGACAAUGGGCGAAAGCCUGAUCCGGCAAUAUGGCGUGAGUGAAGAGGGCAACGCAGCUUGUAAAGCUCUUUCAUCGAGUGUGCGAUUGUGACAAGACUCGAAUAAGAACGCCCCGGACUAACCGUCCGCGCCAGCAGGCCGC
Molecule: ribosomal RNA, 440 nt
Filed under: uncultured bacterium
Lineage: Bacteria
Description: SSU rRNA
Rfam family: Bacterial small subunit ribosomal RNA
Source: RNAcentral